GCUCGACCAACCAUAGCAAAGCUAAGUUUGACGGAUUGCACUGUAGACCAAUGAUAGUGCUGGCACAGCUUGACUGACAGCCGCUGCAGCUGUGGUGGGGGAAGGGCCGCUUAAGUUGACGGAACCGCCAUCUUGAAAAGUGCCCUCGGACGAGCUACCUUUUUUCGCGCCUGUUAGAAUAAUUUUUAAUGCUUUAUUUUUUCAGGUAAAGUAGUACUGUUACCCCAAAUGCUUGGUGAAGUCUUCAUACAAAUGGCAAGAUAGGAUACACACCGGAUACCCACCCUUUUGCCUUUGUAUGCCGGUGUGCCAUUGUGUGUGGUCCACUCUGCUGUCUGCUGUCUGUAAAUCCAGCAAGUCUGGAAUGGGCCAAAUCCUACGAAUACUAGAACACACUUGUUUUUAACUUCACUCCAGCAUCUGGAGUAUAACCCUUACAGGUAAGCGGCUUAUCUUGAUAACCUUAUUAUUUGAGACGUAAGUGGGGAUUUUAAUAUAU
Molecule: long non-coding RNA, 499 nt
Organism: Neogobius melanostomus (round goby)
Lineage: Eukaryota; Metazoa; Chordata; Actinopteri; Gobiiformes; Gobiidae
Source: Ensembl